UCAUAACUCUUGUUCAAAGGACCAUUUUCUCCAAUUCGAGCAUCAAGAGCGUUUUCUACGUUUUAACCGCAAAAAAUGUAGUGGCGACUCCAAAUCAUUGGGAGAGGUAGAAGUCAUGUUAGCCUCCUUCUAAGUUGCAGACGCGGUCUUCCAACUAAAUAUAGGAUCGUGAGAAGCCCCAUAUUUUAAAUGAUGCAUCAAAACUGAAUUCUUUGAUGUUAUUAAAGCUAGUGGUUCCUGAAAAAUUAGCGAUACAAGACAAAGUUCACAAAAAAAUGCAAGUAUUCAUUUUUUGAGCAUUUAUGGACAUUUUUCUUCUUAUUGAAUAUUUUGAAUGAGUUUAAUGGCAAAUCAAAUUAUAUUUUCCAAUCACAAAACAUAAUUCAAUGUGAUUUGAAAUUUGAAAUUUUGAACAUGAUUUUGGCUUAAACACUCACCCAACUUUUUAAGUAUUUUCAACAUUUGGUUAAACCAUUUUUCUCAUAAAAUUUGGGCGACCAAACCAUUGCCCCUUCAAACUUUUUUCUCAACCAUCACGAACUAAGUUAUGUUAAGGUAAAAUUUGGUCACAAAUUCUUGUGGUUCAACUGAAUGCUUAUUUGGAGAAAAUCUAGAGAUUUUUCACUUUAGGAAACCUUUUCAUAUGAAAGUGGUUUAAUAAUGUUCUCAAAACAACUAACACAUAUUUAACAUGUACAAGGCAAAAAUAAUCAAUCAUGAUAUAUAUGUUGUUCAUAAAAUAUUCAAAAAUGGGAAUUUUGAAACUUUGUGGUUUGGUAAUUUUUUAAAAUAAAUUUGAGUUGAUUUUAGAAGAUUUACCAACAAAAAGUUUCAAAGAAUAAUAUACAAUAAAAAGAGCACAACUGUUAGAAGAAGAAGAAUCAUGGUACUUACAUGUUCAAGCCUUGAAGUUUUGGAGAGAAAAGAAUUGUUUUUGCUUUUCAAAAUGAGAGUGGGUAGUGAUUUUGGUCAAAAGGGGUGAUGUUUUCAGUGGAUGAGAAGAUAUGGGGAAAUCUACUUUUAAGGAUUUUAUCCCUUAGUCAUCCAUAUGGUAUGCCAACUGGGCGCUAGGAACCUAGAAUGGGUGAAUAGGUGUAGCAGAUCACUAAUCCUGGUUUUCUGAUUUAUGUGUAUAACAGAAAGCUGCUACAGUUAAUCGAUUAUUAUUAGGGUUAAUCGAUUCUGCUGAUUCUUGAUCUCUUUGGAAAACAAAUUUUCUCCCUAUAAAAACAAUGAUGUUUACAAGUCUUUACUACCCUAAAUUUAUUCUUGAUUAUACUUAGAUUAUUAACACAUAGCUCAAAUCACAUAAUGCAAUUAAAACAGAAAUCAACAAAGACACAAUCGUAAAAAAGAUAGGGAAUGUGAAAGUGCUCAAGGAUUUUUAUCCUAGUUCAUUUGCGGGUCCACUUGCAAACUACAACCAGGCCUCCCCUUCUGAUCUUGGGAGAUCUUUCUUCACCAUUGGAAACAAAUGUUUGAUUACAACCACUCUUCCAAUACAGCUAGCAAGAUCUCCUUCUUGAACGUGUUGAGCCUACACACUUGGUUUGACCACACUAUAUGCCUACUAGGAUACCACACCAUUCGCAAAUCUGGCCUUAGGAGAAGUAUCGCUUGAUCCAAGACUUCCUGCUCCAUGAACACAACCAAUUCUCUAAUGUGAUGAUAAUAACACACCACAAGAACAAUCCUUGUAUUAUAGAAAAUUGUCGAGUUAUUUACACUUUUAAUGUGUGGAUAAAACUCUAAUAUCGGCUCUACAACCCUCUAAAUAAAUAUCACAAACAACCGUAAACUAAAUGUGAAGUUUUUGCAGGGUUUUUCAAAUAAAUGAAUAAUAAUAGCACUUUGAAAAUAAUUUCUCUCUCUUCUCUCUUAGAAAGCUAUGCAAGAAAUCUUUUAAAGAUAAGCAAGAUGCUUUUGAAAAUUCAGCUAUAAGAAUCUUGGAUUUUUUUCUCCCAAUGUAAGAAUGAAAUUGAUGAACGUGCUUAUGAAAAAAAUUUAAUCGAUUAUGUAACUAUUUAAUCGACUAACGUGCUUAUGAACAAUAGUUGUUUAGUAAUGGCUCAAUCGAUUAUUAAUCUCUUUAGUCGAUUAAUAAGAUAGAAUCAUGGGAGGUUAGCUACUAUAACUCCUUUUAAUCGAUUACAACAUUUCUUAAUCGAUUAACGGAUUUUAACAAGAUAUAAUCCAUUAUCAAUGAAGUUAAUCGAUUAAUAUAUAUUGAAAUAGUUUUCCCUAAUGCAUGGUAAGCAUGCAACACAUGAUUUUGAAAUAGAAGAUCCUUCUAUGCACAAAAACCAUGUAUGCCUAAUGCAAAUGCAUGAAUCUUAAUUAUCAUAUAUAUAUAUAUAUAUAUAUAUUUACCUAACCUAGACUCAACACUAGGCAAACAUCUAAGGACUCUAAAAUAAUAAAAUAAUCCUAAGUUCUACGAUGUUGACCUUGAGUCUUCGGCAUGUUGUUUGUGGUGAUGUCCAUAUCUUCAAGCUUCCUUUUAACUCCUUGUCUUCAUCAAAACUAAGUAGGUCAAUCUUGAUGGCAUCCUUUGACUAUUUGCCAUUUCAAUCUUCCCCUUUUGAUUAUGACAAACUCUAAAAAAAUCUCAUGUUUGAUGGCUUGAUGCUGGACAAAAUGUGUUUGCAAUGGUUGAAUCAGAAUGCGCUGCUCCUCCUCACUUUGUUCUCGCCCUCAAUCCAUGUAAUAGGUGAUACAAGGGUAUCAUUUCAAGAUUAAUUGCGGAAGUUUAAUGCAACCUGCAAAACAGCUCAAACAUCAUUUUCUCCCCCUUUUGGCAUGAACAAAAAGCUAUGAUAUUAUAUGAUAAUAAUAGCCAUAAGCAAGGAAAUAUUUUUCUAAAAAAGUACUGGUCUUAAUCUAUUGAACAAUCAAGGAUAAUCGAUUAAGAAAUAUAAAAAGAAUUUACAAGUGCACAAUUUAUAUCAUUAAUCAAUUAUAUGCAUGGAGUUAAUCGAUUAUAUAGUAUAAAAUCAGAUUAUGGCAAAAAUGAAUUGCGAGAUAUAUCCAUUUGUGAGAUUUGACAAGUAUAGAAUAAAAUGAUUAAUGGUAUAUAGGAUAAAUCACAUAAUGCACAUAUUAACCAUUCAAUUUAAAGUAGUACGUAAGAAAUCACGCAAUAAUUCAUCCAUAACCAAAGUUAAGAACAAAGUUACAAGAAAUUAGAAAUCAAGUACUUCAAGUACAUAAGAAGUUCGAAACAAAUUACAACCAACAAAAAAAUAUAAUCUCAAAAACAUACACACACACCCUAGAAUCUAGAAAAUCUUAUCUAGGCUAUUCCUGAGGUGGUGGUGGUGAUGAUGGGUAGCCAUGUGUGGCACGCACAAUGAAGAUGAUGCGGUCAAGCUCCAUCGAUAACCUCUCUUGCUGCUGUUGGAACUCAGCUGCCAUAGAGUCUCUCAAAGAUUGAAAGUGGCCAUCAAUUCGUGCAUUUAGGCACUAUUCCAUACAACUCAAGUGUGAAAGCCCAAAAGAUGGUUCUUGUGGCACAACAUCUGCCUUAGUUUGUGGUUGCUUAGAGUUUGGCUCACGCGGAUUUUCAGCAAUGUCUUUAUCAAGUAAGUCUUCAUUCAUAUUGGCAUUAUGACCCUCUGGAUAUUACCAUACAUUUCCAAACUUGUAUAUGCCCAUCUUGUAAAUAAGGUUGUCACUGACAAGGUGCUCUCGUGAAUUUGUAGUCAUUGUAUCCACAUCUAACGUGUCGAUUUCAUAAUAUUCAAUGACAUGGGAGAUGAAAAUCCCAUAGGCAAGCAACCUUGAUGAAGAAGAAGCUAUUCCAUUCAUAACCUUCAUGAUUUCAGAAGGCCAAUUUACUACAAUACCUUCACUUAUGGUAAACAUUAGCUUGAGAUUGUUGAUUAUAGGUUGAGCAUGGUUCGUGUUUCUUUGAACUAAAAUAUACGAAAUCAGAUAAUGCAAGAGUCGAUUUCAACGGAUAAUGAUCCAGCCUUGGUCAAUUCUCCUUGUACAUACAAGUGAGGUCCUCUUAAGCAUGACUUACACAUUUGAAUAACAUCGAAUGAGUCCCAUAACUCAUUGUUUCAAUCUCCUAGCAUGGAUCAAUACUUGGUAGACCACCAACAUAUAGAAAUAAUUCCUCAUACAAAACUAUCAUUUUCUCAUUACCAUCGAUGCAUAAAUCCCAUCCUUAUAUCUAAAGUUACUGUAGAAUUCUCGAAUGAGCGAUGGAUAAAUUUUACCUCUUGACCUUAACAUUUUUUCAUGAGUUGGUGUUGCAACUGAUUCUUUCUUGGGUAGAACUAAGAUGGUGGUUUAUGAGGAUUGUCUUGCCUCCGAGGCCGAUUUCCUUGAUAUUGAUUAUUAACCCUACCCCUUGGGUAAUUAUUCUGAAAGUUUCGUCUCAGAGUAUUGGUAAAAAGUGGCCUUCCUCAUUUUGGGGUUGACAAUGGCCUAUUUGCUGCUCAUCAGCACAUUUAUCGUGCCUAAAAACCUACUUCUUUGAAGCUUUGCUGAUUUGUCUGGGCAGAUCAUGGAGCUUUUGGGUCACUUCAUCUAGUUGUUGUUGAAAUAGUUUAUGUUCAGCCAAGACAACUUCUGUUUGUAACAUCCCUCCUUUCACCACCUUGCUUAGAUAGACAUAGAACUAUAUAUACAUAUAUAUAUAUGUGUGUGUGUGUGUGUGUAUAUGUGCGCUUAUGUAUAUUAUUAUAUUUUUUUAUAAUAGAAUGAUAUAUGUUUAAUAGUUGCCUCGAAAAUAAAAGUUAUUAGAAUACGAACUAACUUACUUGGAUAACAAGUAAUUACGUGUAGAGUUAUGUUAAAAAUUAUUAAUUAGAUAGUUUCUUUAUGUAGAUAAAUAUAUCUUAGUUAUUAAUAUAGAAUUGAGAUUAGAAUUGGGUUUAGAAUGAGAAAAUUAAGUUAGUUUAGUUUAAUAGUCAAAGCUGUCCAACUUUUGAACUUUAAUCAUUUUUGGGUUAAUGUAUAAUCUUAGAAUUAUGAUAGAAUUAGUCUAAAUGACAACCUGACCUAUUAGAUUUUUAUAAUAGCUUUUUUAAUAUUAUGUUUUGAGAAUAGGAAGUUAACAUCUUAGUGUUUACUAUGAUAAAUAACUUAGUUAAAGAGUUGCUAGAGAAAGUGUUAGUUUUAAUGUACCUUUGAACUAGAUUGCCAAGAAGUACAUGUAAUCUUUUCUGUCAGUUAUUUGAGUGCUUGAACUAUCAGCUUUACUCACCUAGACAUUUUUUAAUAUUGUAUUAAUAUGUCUUAGAGUACAAGAAAACACAUCUAUGCAUUAUACCAAGUGCCCAAAUCGAAUUCAACAAACAUUACCAUGCCAUGUGUUUAGUUCUUAUCAAGCCACCUAAUCCAUGAGUUGGUUGCCUGAUGGUCACAAAUAAAAAUAUCCUAAUCUACUAACUCCAUCCCUCAUCAUCUAUAAAUAUCCCAUAGGGGCUGAAGCUCGCCUCAUUUUAUUCCACCCAUCUCACAAAAUCAAAGCAAAAAUCAUCUCUUCCAUUUCUUCUCUUGUGUGUCGGCUUUGAAGCCAAAGGAAGGAGGUCCAUUUUUAUCUUCUCAAUCUUGCAUGAAAGCUAAUCCACUUCUCCUAUAAGGUAUCUACAUCAUAUCUAUGGUUUCUAUCUUCCAAUUCUCGGGCUUUGUUAGUUGUAUUUUCUAUUAGGAGUCAUGAACUCAAAUGGUGCAACAAUGGGUUUUAGUGUAGGUUUUGCUUGGAAUUCCUUCGAGCUUUUCUACAAGGACCCUACUCUACUAAUUUUAGGUAAGGAGAACUCAAAUGGAAUCUCUGAUUUACAAAAUAAUGACAUGCAAAGACUGUUCUUGUUGUUUUAAAAUUUUGCGCAAGUGUGGUUAGGGAAAUCAUGUAUGAUUGUUGUUGUUGUUGAGUUGUAAGCUUAUGAUUGUGUUAGAAAUGGUACAUCUAUGCUUAGAACUACUUGCAUUUUGGAAAUAUUUUGUGUGCAGGUCUCUAUGUCUCAAAAAUUGGUGCUCUAAGGGUCUCUAAACCCAACCACCUUCUUGUGUUGUUGUUACACUAAAAAGGAUGCUCUAAGUGUCAUCUCUUGUCCUAGAAUUGCUUGGGAUUGAAGUUAAAACCCUUGCAUGUGCUCUAGAGUUUUUAGCAUUCUGUAUCUAUGUUAGUGAACUCCUCUCAAGGACUGGAAUUCGAAAAUUUAGAAGACUUGAAAGCCAUGCAAUUGAUCCUAAGUGUUUAAGGGUUAAAGAAACUCUAGAACCUUACUUCUUUGAUAACUUGAGUUCCUAAAGUUCAAAUUUGACAUAUGACAUAUGCAUGUGUUCAAUUUAAUUUUCUAGCCUAUUAUGAUCUUAUUUAGGGACAAGGAUUCGGGUUCAUCACUGAAUGAGGGUAAAAUCGAAAAACAGUACCCAAGUCACAAUCAAAACUAUCCAAUUUUAACUAUGUGUUAGCCGAUGUUUCAAAUUAUCUUAUGGUCUAUAAAUUCUGAGUUUGUUUGAGCCCAAACAUGUCAAACUCAAUUCUUCCCUAUGAAGUUUAACAUGUGUCUCAAGUUAGAUAUUUUUUUGAAAUUAUUCUGAUGUUAAUCCGAGCCUCAUAAGUCAAAUUCUGAGUAUUAAAUCAACUUUGUCACUGAAAUAUUUUUGUACCUGACCAAGAUCAUAAAUGUAUCCAAAUGAAAUAUUUGGAUAUGUUAUAAUGUCUAGAGCCUCAUUAAGGUGUUUUCCUGUAUAAUUUGAAUAAUCCAGUGAUAUAGAAGUUAAUCGUUUAAGAUAUAAUCAAGUACUCGACAUUCAGGAAAUCUGCGACAGAUGAAAUAUUAAGUUCAAAAAGGGUAAAGGUAUGGAGAGAAGUGUCUUUAUAUAGGAGUUUAGAAAUGAUGCUAAAGAUAUCCGUGCAUCUCUAAGCUAGGCCAUAUUCAGAUAUAGUCGAAUACUAUUUCUGUGGCCGCAAACAAUUGAGUAGUGAGACUUAGUUGUUCAUAAAUUAAUUUAAUUCUUAACUAUGAUUGAUAUGUUUGCAUUAAGUGGUCAAAUGGAAUUGAAUGAUCAUGUCUGUUGAUAUAAAUGAUUAUUAUGACUGAAAAUUGAUUACGAAAGUACUGAGUUAAUUGAAUAUUUUGUUGAAUUCUGAAAUAUAAAAUAUUGUUGAGUUGAUUAUUGAACUCUCAUCAAGCAUUUUCAUGGCAUAGCAUAUGGACAUUCUUGAUAGAACUUAAAGAAUAAAGACUUGUUUUAUGAAAUAUUUGACAAAGGAUGAAGGAGAAACAUUUUUCUGAAUUUUCUCGGAACUGGCGUAUUUUUUCAGUUAAUAGAAAAUCCUUUUGAUCAGUAAGCCAGUGAGUUUGACCUUGAUGAAAAUGUCAUAAUUGAAUUUCAACAAAAAAUGUUUUGUUAUUACCCUAAAAAUGUUUUCCCUUGAUUUUUCUUUUCUCUAAAAACGAAAAGUUAUGCUUUGUAUGAAUCAGAAUAUUCAUGUCACUAUGUUUAUUGUUGUAACAUAGUCUACGGGAAGAUAUGUCACUGAGAUUGUAUUGAGAACCCAGAGGGGUACCUUGUAUCUAUGACUUUGUUGAGGGGACAUUCUGGGUAGAGAUAUUUUUCAAGAAUAAGGUAGCUCCUUUGAACCGAUAGAACUCUUUGUAGUAACUACAAUGACCUUUGACACCCCCUUGAAGGUAUCAUGCUCAGGAUGACGCAACAUUUAUCUUUGUUGGUCGGUGGGUAUUCCGGUGCUAUUGAGUGCACGAUAGUUAUAUGCCUUUUGGUUACCAAUGGUGAGCACGACACUGUAUUCGUUAUGUUCACUUUCUAAGAAUAACAAAUGGCUGAUCAGGCUCGAUUAGUCGGUACCAUUGCUGUUGAUGUAUUGUUAAGGGCCUAGUUAGGAGACAUUUUCUCCAUGCAUUCAUCUAGAGAAUAAUGAGUCUCAUCAGAUUAAUGAGUGUAUUCAUCACUACAUCAUGCUCAUACAUAUGAUGAAAUUGUCAUAUUGAUACCUGUAUGAUAUGUUUUAUGUUAUGACAUUAUUAAUUGUUAAUUGUUUAUCUUAUAUAGAGAUACUUACUCUUCAAUCUCACAUUAAAGGUAGUGCUGGACUUGGAGGCUUCUUUUGUGACUCCUCCCUGUCGAAUAGAGAUCAUACCUCUCCCACCGGGGGAGGUUGAGGUGGAACGGUAUAGGGUGAUGUAUAGGGGGAUAGAGAGAUCAUGUGUUCAUACCUAGAUAUGCAUAAAGUGAUACCCCGCCGCCGGUCUACCUUUCCAGCGGUCUAUAUCAUGCAUGUACCAGACAAUUAUGAGUUACGACGCAUACCUCUUCCUGCUCCUACCAGGUAUAUUCCUUCUCCUACAACUCCUCUUGUCCUGUCUUCUAGAUCCUCUCAUGCCCGUAGACGUAGGUUGAGCCAUUUUGGUGCACAUUUAGAGCCUCAACCAGACGUUCUUCUAGGGGACCACCUGUGACCCUGACUAGUCGUACUAAGACGACUCAGGGAUUUCAGACUUGCUAGUGUUUUUGGUGUCUUCCUUUACAGGAGAGUCAUAGGGAUUCACCCGCUACUAUUUUAAGAGAGACUCCGGAGUUUACUCUAGGAUCCUCUUUUCAUAAGGUACGUGGGAUAUUUCAGGAUGACGGGGCUGAUAUUCGUGGCACGGUAAAGAUGGCCUGACUAUCUCCUUCACCAUCAUACUCCCCUGCACCCGUUGAGCCUAUGGUUAGGGAUGAUAUUAUAUAUAUUUCUAUUGAUGAUGAGGAUCUAGAGGAGGACCCUAAGGAGGGUAGUGUUGGAGGACAGUAGCUUGAGAAUGUUGGGUCGAGAUUUUGACGGUUCGUUUGUAUAUUGUAUUGUCGUAUAAUAUUUUGGUGCAGUUGUAGAGAGUUUAGUGUACACCCAACUAUAGAACCUUUAUGCUUGUGUAUAUUUAUGUAUAUAUAUAUAUAUCCUAUUAUGAUGGAGUGUAUAUGUUGAUGGUAUGACUCUGGAUGGUGUACUCUUUCCUUGACUAUGAUGCUUCUUUGAACUGAUGAUGUAUAUAUAUAUAUAUAUUUAGAGUACUAAGAGAGUUCUUUAUUACUCAUAAUUAUGCUGAUAUAUAUAUCUUAUGUUUAUUAUGUUAUGUAUUGUUGUUUAGAUUAAAGUUUUAAGUGGUGAGUCCUGAGAGAACAAGGCUCAUGUUAUAAAAAAAAUUAUACGUUAUUUUCACAAAUGAAAAAUAUAAUUAACCAAAAACGUAAAUGACGGUCUUGUAUGUAAUUGUUUUAACAUUAAGAAAAAGGUGUUACACUAUUGGACUCAAUUCAAGAAUUCCACGUCUCCUUGGUGGUGGUCCAGUCCUGACUUUUUUGAUCAUUUAAGGCCAUGGAUUCAAUGAUAUCAAUAGCCUCCUGUGGGGAUUUUGUUAAUAGAUGCCCCCUGAAGUUGCAUUUAGAAACCACUUAUGUUGAUGCUGUAAUGUAUUUAUGAAGAUAUGGAUUAGGAUCUACAUAUAGAACCCAUGGUUUUGACAUUUUCUUCACAUCGACUUAAAUCUAUCCCAAGAAUCGUAGAAACUCUCACGAGUUGGUUGCACAAAUAUUGAGGUAGUUGUCUUCAAAUCCAUGAACUUGCCUUGCGGACAGUGUUUAUGCAUGAAUGUUUCCUCCACCAAUUUCCAUUUAUUCUGCAUAUGUGGGCGUAGAUCCAGAAACCAGUCCUUUGCAUUUCCAAUAAGAGUUAAAGGAAAAAGCCUGAGAAAUAAGAUCUCCUCUUUUUCUUCAGAAAUUCUGGCAGUUCCGACCAAUUCAUAGAAUUUUGUAAGAUGAUUGUAUGGAUUUUCAUGAUCGAAACCAGCAAAAGGACUGACAUACAUUAGCUAGACCAAUCCAUACUUCAUUUCAGGUGGUUUUUGGUUGCUAGAUGGCAUGUUUAUCCUAAUUAUGUUCUAAGGUGUAAAACUGACAAAGCCUCCAACAUUGGGCUGGUUCUCAGCCCCUGAACCAUCAGCAAAUUGUUGAGUGUUGGCCAUUAGUACUUGUGAAGAUUCUACUUCCUUCCGAAUAGACUGUGCUUGGUUUGUUUUCUUUGUGCUUUCUAUUUUUUUGUUAAUGUUUUUUCUAGCUCCAAAUCGAGAGAAAGUUGUACUUGUUUGUUCCUGAAAUACUUGUUUGAAAGAUUUGUAAUUUACUUUUUUAUACAAAUUGAAAAUCAAAUUUGUACAAAAAGUAAAAAGAAAUUUUUUUAUGCACAAUCGUUAAUAAUAUAAUAUGCUAUAUAAAAAUAAUUUCUAUUAUUAAAGAAAUUCCAUCACUUAAGGUUGCAAGUAUUUAUGAUUGGAGUAUGAAUAUUUUAUUGAGUGAUGACUUUAUUUUUUUACUCCCUUUUGGGUUCCAUUUAACCAUAUCAUAAAAGGUCAAUUUCAUUUUAUUAAGUUAAUCAUACCAUUUCUUAUGAAAGGUUGGUAUCAAAGAAUAAAAGAAUAAAGUUAGUAGUUUAGCGUACCACUUCUUGCGAAGGGUUGGUCUCAUAAUAAAAUGUACCAUUUCUUUCGGAAGGUUGGUAUAAAGAAUAAAAGAAUAAAGCAAUAAAUAAAUUGUUAGAUGCAGAAAAAAGUAUAUGACUGGAUGUAAAUAAACAAAAUAAAGAGUUAGUAGUUAGUUGUGAAAUGUAAAUUACAGAAAGUAAAUGUUAGUAACGGAAAAUAAAUGAGAAAAAGUAAAUAUUAGCGGUUAGAUUUAUUAGUUCGUCACUCUUUUAUUGUCAAGUAAUAAUUCAUUGAUUGAAUUGCAAUUUUUGUAUGUUGUUUCUAUUCACAAAGUUACAAAUCAUGAAUUGAUGUGCAAUUUUGUUAAUAGACUAUGUUUUCAACAAAUAACACUUUACUAUAUUUUACACUUGUAUCUCUUUCAGGAUUCAAUUGUAGUAUAGUAUAGUAUUGGUUUAUGUUGUUGCAUAAAAUGACAAUGAUGUAAACUAGUAUUUACAAAUUCUUAAGGAGAAGUUAUGGUUGGAAUGAUGGAAUUAUUUCUUAACGUAAAUAAUUUUGAAAAUUGUAUGCAUGUUAUGUGUUGUACUUUGGUUGAUUUCAUACACCAUGUCUAAAUCUUCCACCUAGUGUCCUGAAAUAGUAAAGAUGAUUUUCAAACCUUGUAUAAUACACUAAAUAUUAAUUAACUGUCACUCGUCAGAGUAGGUUGUCUCACCCUACUUCAGGCUUCGUUACCAUUAUUUAGCCUUGAAAUCAAGUUUCUUAAAAUAGAUGUUUGGAUAUGGCAAGUGAACUAAUGUGUAGGUUAUACUUGUUAGUUCACUUGUCAACACUUUAAGAAGAAGCAUGUUUUUUAUCUUUAAAUCAAGUUUUAGGUGAUCAAUCUAAGAUCGCAUUAGGAACUUCUCAAAGAAUCAAUAACAACCAAAAGUAAUUUCUUGAAUAAAUAGAAAUCAAAAGAUGAUACAAAUGAAGUAAAGAAAUAACAUUACACCAUAAUCCAAAUCAACAUGUAGGAGCCUUAAGUAUCUAUCUAAUGAUGAGAUGCUUUUGGAUCCAAAUGCGAUUACAAAAUCAACUUUUGUAUCAUAUUUGUAAACUCCCUUGUCCUCUUGAAUUCGAAGAAGAAAUUACAAGAAUUGAAGUACCUAAAAUGCUUGGAACCGUGGUCCCAAGUGUUACAAAAUGAGAGAAUUUGUUAGAGACGAGUUUUUGUGAAGAAGAGUAGUGAAGAAUGAAUGUCUUGAAUGCCAUCAAGUGCCUCCUAUUUAUAGGCUUCUUCCCACCACCUAGCCUUGGUUUUCCCACGCCAAGCUGGUGACCAAACCCUUCUUCAUGGAUUUGGUCACUUGGUCAAGUAGCUUAGUGAGCUUCUUGGCGCUGACUCACCCAAGCUAUGGUGAGCUACUUAGACCAACUAGGGUGAGUUAUCUCUAAAAAGCUGAUUGAGGCCAUGUGAAAUGAGGUUAUGCAUAAGGUAAACCUUGCUUGAUUGCUAAGUCAACUUGGCCAACUUGUUGGGUGCACAUAGUCAGGCGCCUAUGUGACACCAUUGAGCUGCCUGCUUGAGCAGGUUGACGUGGCCAUGUUAGUGCUUGUUGUUGAGUUGGUUUGGUGCUUGUCCAAUCUGGCCAUGUGUUUAGUUCCAUGUUGGGUGGUUAUAGUCGACGCUAAGCGUCUCAUUGAGCACUUGGCUUGUGACAUACUUGUGUCUGACUGUUCCAAGUUGAUGGCCAGGUCACGCUAGGCAUGCCUUUGGUCAAUGCCAGGCUGCUUAGUGAGCAAGUUCAUGUUGUUAAGCAAUGCGUAAGGUUAAGUACCCAACUUGCCAUGUGCACAUAAAUUUGGCCUAUGUUGACACCUCUUGACUUUAAUUUUCUCUUGGUAUAUUAUACUAAUUAUUAGUUAUGAAAUAUUAGAUAUAAAGUAAAAGGAAAUUAUUUUAUUUUAUUAUUAAACAAAUAAUUUUAAUCAAAAGAAAUUAAAAUAUAAUAGAUAGAUGACACAUUAUAGAAAUAUCAUUAAAAAGUUAAAAUAGAAAAAGGGAAAAAGCGAGAUCAUGGAAACUCAAGUAUGUGCUUAGCACAUUGCUUUUUGCUCAUAGCAAGAAUAGGAUUCCACAAAGUGGAACAACCAAGCUCAACACAAAUACUCGAAAUUAUCUAAUUCUAAAUAAAAUGGUUAGAGAUACGACAACUGAGAAUAUGAUAAAAAAAAAGAAGGAAGUGAUCAACAUUAAUGAUGUAUUUUAUUUUGGAUGAUAAUGUGUGAAAUACAAAGUGCAACAACCGAGCUCAACACAUUCCUUAGAUGGUAACAUGUGAAAUAGAACGUUUAAUGAUGUAUUGUAUUUUUUACUGCAGGUAUGCAUGAGUGAAUAACUGAAUUAAUGAGUAAGUAGGUAUGCAUGAGUGAAUAACUGAAUUAAUGAGUAAGUUGAUAAAUAGGUGAUAAUAAUGCAAAACUCAUGCUCUUUUUGGUAAUGAAUCUCAUUUUUUGGUGUUUUAUCCUUCACUAUGAGUGAUAAAGUAUUGGGAUGAAAUUGUAAUGAGUAGUUUAUAUAUGUAAUAUGAAAUAAGCUUUCUAUCUUAUAAGCUCGUAUACUACCUCAAAAAUCAUAUUAAACAAAAGCUUAUAUUAAUAUAAAUCCAUUUACCAAGUAAGAAUAUGUAGUUGAAUAAUGCUAUAUGUACAUUAAAAUUUGAUGAAAUUAAAAUGACCAAUAUUAUUAUCUCACCUUUUUCUUUGAAUAGAAAGAGUGUUAAUGAUAACUUUCAAUGUACAUAUAUUAUUAUGGGAUGUAACUUGUUUUUAUCAAAUAUAACAGGUGCUAUAAAACACAAUAUACUUAAACUUCCAUAAUGUUCGGCAUGAAAUUAUUCUUUCCAAUGGUUUGUUUAUGAGUUGGAUUUUAGAGGGAAUGGACUUGAGAGUUACGUAAUACAGUUGCAUGAUAGCUUUGAAACAUUUUCUUCAUCCUCCUCUAAAAGUCAACUCCCAAACCAAUCAUUAAAAACUAGAGAUUCUAUGUUAUAAUAGAAAUCUUGAGCCCUCAUUAUUUCACCAUCAAUAAAAAGAAACGACAAAUUCCAAAUCUCCUUAUCCUUUAUUCCUUUGAAAUUUGACAAAUGUUUUGGUUUUAUAUAAUUAGUUGUUACAUUAUACCCAUGUUUAUAUUUUCGGGAAGUUUUACAUUAAAUAUUUAGAACAUUCAUUUGGGUUGUAAUAUGGCCUUAAAGGAGGAGACGUUUUUAAUUAUAGCCAUGUGCAAUGGAACUUUAUUACCAUAUGUAAACGAGUACAAAUGAAUGUGGACUUGGAAUAAUUGUCCAUGAAGACCAGUCAAGAGUUAUGGCAAAUUCUUACCAUAUGAGGAAGGGCGUGCAAGUAAGGACGGAGGAUUUCAAAUUCAAACAUGAAUUCUUCUCCGUUAAGGAGGUGUGUAGUAUGAUACAAAGUUAGCAUAUGAAGAUCAAAGUCAUUUUUCGAUCAUCAAAUCAAGACGAAUUCUUUCCAUAUUCAAAAUAUGGCAUAAUUGAGACUUGCCAUAUGAAGCCAAGGCCAUGAAUCAUCAUCAAAUCAAGAGGAAUUUUUUCCAUAUUCAAAAGGUGGUAUAAUUGAGACUUGCCAUAUGAAGCCAAGGUUAUGAGUCAUCCUCAAAUCAUGAGGAUUUCUUUCCACAUUCAAAUAAGGAAUGAAUGAGACUUACUAAAUGAGAACCCUAGGCCAUGUAAUCAUUAUCAAGUCAAACAAAAAUCGUUCCAUACGAAGCUAAUCGUGAAAAACAAGGAUUGACAUUUCAAAUCUUACUAUACAAGCACUAGGCUGGUCAUUUCCUUUCCAUAAUGGUAGCCUCGAUUUAAGUUUGCAUUCAAAGAAGAAUUCAUGGGAACAAACCUUCUCAUUCUAAGAAUACAUUGUACUUAGUCUUUGUCUAAGUUUUGGAAAAGCAAAGUAGUAGGAAAUUCACUCAUUAAUGUAUUUUGAUUCCUAUUAGCACGUGGAGCCACAUGUUGGCAAGCGACCACUAUUUGUUACCACAUUUAUCAUGAGUAAUGCAAGUUUGAAUUUAUUUGGAAAAUAUUUCAUUCUAGUUGAGAAUUUAUCCUACCUUCUUGGUUGAACCAAGGCCCCGUCUAUCAAGGAUCUAUCCUUGUUGUGAACUCCAUUGCCUUAACAAACACCAAGCUUGUGGCGCCUUCAUCCUUUCAUUUUCUAUCCAUCUUAUUUUAUCAUACACGACUCACCCAUACACAACCUACUCAAACUCAUUCCAUUCCUAACAUUUCAUUCAUAAAAACCGAAACCAAAUACAUACAAAAUUCAUUCACAAAUUCAAAAGGACGUACAAGCAAGAACGAUCAACAAAAAAAUAAAAACCCUGUCAAGGAGGUUUCUAUCAUUAAAUAUAUGAGAAUAUGCACAAAGUCCCUAUAAACUUUAUGUCUUUUGUCAAUAGUCACCAUGAACUAUUGUUUCUUCCUAAUUACCCUUUAAAGUUUAUCAAUUUGUAAAUUGGUCCCUAUAUAAAAAUAUUGUUAAUUUUCUAAUAGGCCAACAAAUAUAUAGCAACAAUUAGACUCACUACAAUAAUAAUAUAACAGUGUAGGUCAGCAAAUGUUGACAUUUGGAUGAAAUGUCAUCAACAUACAAAGCUUAUUGAGAAGAAGGUAAGUAUAUUUUAGAGUUAAAAGUUGUUAAUAGAAUAAUAUUUGUAUAAGAAAUUUAUAAAUAUCUAGCCAUCGAGAUUAAAAGAAAAUGCAUAGAUUAGAAUUUUUGAUUGCUAUUAAUUAAACAUUAUCUUUAUAUCGAACCAAUUUUACCAAUAGUUAAAUUUUAAGGGGUAAUUAUGAAUAAAAAGUAGUUGAUGUUGUUUACUCGCAAAAUACAUAAGUUUAGGAUGUGUGUGUUGCAUCGUUCCAGACUUCAAGGUAAGAAACAAUUCUAAUCAUUAAUGUUGUUUCUACCAUCUCUUACGACAAGGUUCACGACCAACGAUACAAUUUUUUAUUAACCUCUUCCAUAAACACUUUAGAUUAAUUAUUUAAAAAUUAACUAAUUUUUUAAUUCAUAAGAUACUCCUAUUAAUUAACUAUACAUAAAUGUUGUAACAACAAGUCUAAAAUUAUCUUUUAAUUAUACAAUUAAUUACAAAAAUAGGAAUUUAAUAGGGAGAUCAUAACUCAUGUUAUAUCUUUUUUUGCUUUAAGUUGAGAAGUAAUUAUAGCUAUUAGUAUUACCUCUAUAAUCUGACGAGAAAGGAAUAAAUAUUAUGGAAUAUGUUUUGUGAAUUAAAUUGAGAAUUGGAUGAACAAUUGCAAUUAGUAAAGUAUCAUUUUUCCAUUUGAAAAGCAUCAUAGUAAUUAGUACUUCCUCUGUCAUCACUCGAAUUAGGGGUGACCUAUGAUCUGCUACUUUACUUUCAACCUCAAUUAAUUAAAAUUAAAAAAAACAUCAUUCAGUUUUCUAUCCUUAACUAUAUAAUUUUAAUUUUCAUAUUAGACCUAGGGAUACACGUGAAUAAGAUAAACUUUUUCCAGACAUAAUAAUGAAAAUAUAUUGUCUCAUCUAUUGUUUUAAAAAUUAUUUAUUUAAUAAUAACCAAAAAAAUAAUUAUUUGUAUAAUUAAACAGGUUUAGGAUAUAAAUCUCAUAAACCUAUUAACUCACAAAUUGGUUGUUGGAUUAACCCAAUGUAAAUCUCAAAAAAUGUAUAUUGGUAUCAUAUAUAGAAAGUUGUACAUUUAAAUUCCUCUCAUUUAUCUUUUUUUCAGAAUUAAAGGUCAAUGAUGAGAAUGUAUAUAUAACACUACUCAACUACAUAUUGUUAAUCGAUAAAUGGAUUUAUAAUAAUAAGUUACGAGAAUAUUCGCUCUUAUUAUAUGGUUAUGUCGAACCAAAGAGAAUUGCAUUAGAUGAAAAUUAUAUAGGCAUAUUAUAGCAAAAAUAAUGAUUAACAACUUUUUGAUGAUUGUGUUAUGUUGCAUAAAAGUUAACUAAGAAAACAUAAACAAAUAUUCACAAAUUCUUGAGGAGAAGAUUGGUUUGAAAUAUUUCUAUACUGAAAUGAUUUUUGAAAAUAUUAACAAGUUAUAUGUUAUACUUUUUGAUUAAUUCCACACAUCAUUUUUAAAUCCCUAAUAAGUGCCAAAAAUGUCUAAAAUUCAUAUACUUUUUGUGGCACUUAUCAUUGGCAAAAUUGAGAAAACCAACUUAAUUCAACAUUUUUUGGAUAAAAUAUCACAAUCUUGUAUAUAUGCUUUGUGUAUUUCUUUUGUAUUAUAUUUUGUAGGAUUUAGGUGGAAAAGAGAAGAAUUAAUCAAAUUCAAGAAAAGUGCUUAAAAUAGGCCAAAAUGAUCCACAAAUGACAUUCAUGCACCAGGCCACAUCACCAUCAACAAGGUCAAAUCUGCUCAAGAAUGCAGCUUAGCGGUGCCACAUAGGCGCUUGGCGGUGUGCACCCAGCAACUUGGUUAAGUUGACAUAGCCACCAAGCAACCAUGAUCUCAUGCAUGACCUCACUCCAAGUAGUCUCCAUAAGCUUUUCAGAGGUAGCUCAUAAUAACUGGGCCAGUAGCUCAUAACAAGCUUGGGUGACUCAACUCCAAACAGGUGACUAAGCUGCUUGGCUAUGACCAAACCCUUGCUGAAGGUUUGGUCAGCAGCUUGGCGGUCAAGGAGAGGAGCUUGGCGAUUGGAAUAAACUCCUAUAUAUAGGAGGCACUUCAAAGACUUAUGACAUUCAUUCAUACAAAUUCUCAUAUACACUUCCAUUCCUCAUACUCUCUCUUAACCGAAUUCUUCUUUUCUUGUAAUUUUCUUGGAGAAUUUCUACUCCAAAGUAGUUUAGGUAAGUUUAUUUUUUUAGUUUUUUAUUAAUUCAAGAGGAAAAAUGAGAUGGAAAAUGAGAUACGAAAACAUAAUUUUGUAAUCUCAUUUUGGUCCAAAACUCAUCUCAUCCUUGGAUAGAUGGUUCAUGCUCCUACAAAUUGACUUAUAUUAUAGUGUAAUUUAUUUUAUCAUCUUUUGAAUUCAAUUCACUUCAAGUUAUUACUUUUGGUUAAGUUUUGAUUCUUUAUGAUGUUCUUAAUGAGGUUUUAGCUUGAUCACCUAAAACUUGAUUUAAAGAUCCAAAAUUGCUUCUUCUUAAAGUGUUGACAAGUGAACUAAAAAGUAUAACCUACACCAUAGUUUUCUUGCCACAUCAUGCAUCUAUUUUAUGAAACUUAUGUUCAAGGCUAAAUAAAGUUAAUGGAGCCUGAAGUAGGGUGUGACAACCUACUCCAACAACUGACACUUAACUAUUAUGUAGUGCAUUACAUAAUGUUUGAAAAUCAUCUUAUCAUUCUAGGACACUAGAUGAAGGAUUUAGAAAUGAUGUGUGGAACUAACCAAAAGUAUAACACAUAACUUGUAAUGUUUUCAAAAUCAAUUAAAUAGAGAAAUAAUUCCAUAUUUCCAACCAAUUUUCUCCUCAAGAAUUUGUGCAUAGUAGUUGUUUAUGUUUACUUACUUGUUAGUAAUAUAAGUUUUUUAUAAUAAUGACCUAUUAGGCAAUUCCUUGUGGUUCGACAAAACCAUAUACUAUACUACAAUAGAAUCUUGAAAGAGACGUAAACGUAAAAUAGUAAAGAGUUAACUUAUAAAUUUUAUUUGUUGACAAAGAAAUAAAUCUUGAAUCAAAGUGCAAUUUAAUUCAUAAAUUAUAUUUUUGUGCAAAGGAAAAAUACAUAGUUAUAAUGAGGGAUCUAACUAGUAACUUUUACUUUUUGUCAUUUAUUUUCUACAACAAACAUUUAUUUUCUAUCAUCUAAAUUCAACAACUAACAUUUAUUUAUUCUUCUCCAACCUUCCAUAAGCAAUUAGUUUGAUUAAUAAAGGAAAAGGAAAAUAAAUAUCACUCAUUAUUACUUGUACUAAAUUGCUAAAUUCAUACCAUUAUACCGGUGUUGGAAUUAAUCCAACAAAGCAGAGAUGGUAUGAAAAUGUUAAUAAUUCAAUAAAACUAAGUUUUUGAUUAAAGGAACAUUCUUGAAACCAUUAUAUCGGUGUUGGAAUUUAUUCCAACAAAGUCGAGAUGACGAGCAAAGAAUCGACCUGUCAUUAAAUAAAUAAAUCAGAAACUUGUUGCCUCAAAAUAAAGUAAGCAAAUAAAACUCUUUCAACAAUCCCCCAUCUAGUGUCCUAGUAUAAUAAGAUGAUUUUCAAACCUUGCAUAAUACACUAAAGAAUAGUUAAUUGCCACUCGUCGGAGCAGGUUGUCACACUCUACUUCAGGCUCGUUAACAUUGUUUAGCCUUGCAUACAAGUUGUUUAAAAUAUAUGCUUUGAAUUGGCAUGUGAACUAAGACUUAUCAGUUCACUUGUAAACACUUUAAGAAGACACAUUUUUGGAUCUUUAAAUCAAGUUUUAGGUUAUCAAGCUAAAACUGCAUGAAGAACUUCUUAAAUAAUCAAAACUUAACCAAAAGUAUUAACUUGAAUGUAUUGAAAUCAAAAUAUGAUACAAAUUAAGAAAAGAAAUAACAUUACAUCAUAAUCCAAAUCAAUGUGUAGUAGCAUGAGCCAUCUAUCCAAGCAUGUGAUGCUUUUGGACCCAAAUGAGAUUACAAAAUUAACUUUUGCAUCACAUUAGCCAACUCAUUUCUCCUCUUGAAUUCUAAGAGAAACUUACAAGAUUUACCUAGAAACUAGCUCGGAAUCAUGGCCGCAAAGUGUAACAAUUGUAGAGAGAAGUGUUUAGAGAGAAAAAGUGAAGAAUGGAAGUGUUUUUGGAAUGGUGGAAGAGGGCCUCAAUUUAUAGGCAACUAGGUCCCACGUCAGGUGCACCAAACCCUUCAGCAUGUGUUUGGUCCCUAGCCAAGAAGCUUAGUCAGUUGCUUGUUGUUGACUCACCAAAGCUACUAGUGAGCUACUUGACCAUGCUAUUGUGGGAUACUCUAAAUAGUGCUCAUAGGCCUUGUCAAGUGAGAUCAUGCAUGAUGUAAUUGUUGCUUCGUGGCUAAGUCAAGUUGACCACUUGCUGGAUCCAGCCCGUCUGGAUGCUUUGUUGGCACUACUUAGUUGGCACUGCUAAGUUGCUUGCUUGAGCAUCUUGUCCUGCUCUAGCCAGGUGUGUGGUUCCAGGAUGAGCGGUCCAGGUGCAUGCUGAGCUGCAUGCUUCAACAGGUUGGCACGUGUCAGGCUUGAGUCUGAUAGUGCCAUGCUUGUGUCCUACCAAGCCAAGUUGGUGUCAGGUCAGCUGGGUGAUCCUGGUGUCCACGUCAGGCUGGUUAUAGAGCAUUUUCAUGUGUUUAGUCCACGCUUAUGGAUAAGCACUUAGCUUUCCAUGUGUGCAUUAAAAGUGGCUUAUGUGGACACCUGCUCGCUUGACUGUUUUUCAAAUUUUUUUUUCUCUUCAUUUUCCCCCUCAAAAUUCACACAAAGAUAUGGAAAAGAGGUGGAAAAAAUAUAUAAUCAAAGUAUGAAAUUUAACCUAAAAAGUAUUGAAUUAAGUUGGUUUUGCAUGAUUUGAAUGGACAAGUGCCAUGAAAAGUGUAUAAACAUUAAGUAUAUUUGGGACUUAUCAAUCAUCAACCAUGGAUUUUUCUUCCAAAGUUAUAUUAGAUUCAUCAAAAGUUACAGGAAUAGAUUCUUCCAUGGCCACAGUUCUCUUAUUGAAAAUUCGAAAUUUUUUGCUUGUAAGAGAGUAGCCAAGGAAAAUUCCUUCACCGACUUUUGCAUCAAACUUUCCUAAGUUUUCCUUACCAUAAUUUAGCACAUAACAUUUGUAGCUGAAUACAUGCAAGUGAUAAAUAUUUGGUUUUCUACCUUUCAAGAGUCCAUAGGGGUUUUUCUUUAGAAUAGGUCUUAUUAAGACUCGAUUGGAAACAUAGUAUGUCACACUGACUGCGUCUUCCCAAAAAUAUUUUGGUAGAUUAGUUUCAUUCAACAUUGUACGUGCUAGUUCCUCCGAAGAUCAAUUAUUUCUCUCUACAACACCAUUUUGUUGUGGUGUUCUAGGAGCCGAGAAAUUGUGAGUGAUACCAUUAUCAUCACAAGAUUCCUCAAAGAUGCAUUUUGAAAUUCUCCUCCAUGAUCACUUUGUUUAGCAGUUACUUUCAAGGAUUUUUUAUUUUGCACUCUCUUAGAAUAUUUUCUAAAGGCAUUAAAUGCCUCAUUCUUGUGUACCAAGAGUAUAGUCCAAGUGUAUAUCGAAAAGUCAUCUACUAUCACAAGAGUAUAGUAGUUACCACUAAAAUGUUUGGUCUGAGAUGGGUUGAAUAAGUCCAUGUGUAGUAAUUGCAAUAGUCUUUCAGAAGAAAUCAUAUGUUUUGGUUUGAAACAAGUCUUCGUUUGUUUACCCUUUUGGCCAACAAUAUAUAGUUUGUCUUUAACAAACUUCAUAUUGGGUAAACCAACAACCAGAUCUUUCUUUAUCAGUUUAUUCAAAUGAUCCAUAUGAAUAUGAGCAAUUCUCCUAUGCCAUAGCCAUGCAUCAUGAUUAUUAAUAGCUAAACAUUUUAUGGGAAGAGUAGAAUCAAUUAAAGUAAUCAUGUAGAUAUUUCUUAUUCUCUUACUAACAAGUUUAGAGUUUUCGAGUACCUUAUUAUCAAUGAUGCAUUUGUCGGGGUAGAAAGCGACAUGGAACCCUUUGCCACAAAGUUAACUUAUACUAAGUAGGUUGUGCUUGAGCCCCUCAACAUAUAGAACUCCUUCUAUUGUAGUAGAAGGUGGUUUCCCAACUCGACCAACUCUAAAAAAAUUUCCUUUGUUAUUGUCAUCAUAUGUGAUAUAGCCUUUCUCCCUUGGAGUGAGGACAUAGAACUUUAUUUUAUCGCUCGUCAUAUUUUUUGAGUAGCCACUAUCCAAAUACCAUAAAUCACUAGUGGCUCUCAAAUACUCCCGAAAAACAAGUUAAGUGAUAUUAGGUACCCAAUUCAGUUUGGGUCCUACAUGGUUAGCACAUUUCUCUACCCAUUCAAAAUUUCCUAAGAGUAUACCAUAUUUUCUAAUCUUGCAGGUAUUAUAGGUAUGCCCAUGAUUUAGACAAUAAGUGUAGAUAGGUUGAUACUUUUGUAUCCACGAUUUAGAUUUAGCAACAUGAUGAGUAUGGAUACUUUGCUUUUGAAAAAUAAUUUUAUUAGACACCUAUUUUUUCUUAAGUGUAGAAGUUUUACAAAAACCAGAUCUCUACAAUUGGUGGAGUGUCUUUGUAUUUUCAGCAUGUUAUCCAAUUUUGUACUACUCUUAUUGAGAUUUUUGAGUUGAAGACUCAAUGUGGAAACUAUAUUUUCAAUAGUAAACAAUUUGGACAAGAGGAACAAGAAAAUUUAUUACUGAAUGCAUCAAUCUCAGUUUUUUGUUUAAAAUACAUUUAGCAAGUUUGACAUAUUCACUAUGUAGUUCAUUGAAAGCAUUUUGUAAUUCAGAAAAAGACGGCUUAUCAAAAGCUUCAGUUUCGCUUACCUCAUCAUCAUCAGAAUGUUGAGAUGCUAUUUGAGAGAGAUGAGCCUGCUCUUCACUUUCUGGUUCUGAAGUGGAACUUGAGUCAUUAUUCUCCCGUCUACCGAUCUUUUUUUCAGGUUUUGCCUUGAAAGGAUUCUUCUUCGACGCAGGACAUUCCAUGUUCAUAUGAUCAUGUUUUCCACAUUCAAAAUAGAUGAAGCUUUGAUUUUAAGUGGCAACUUCAUUGCCUUUAGUGAAUCUCUUUGGUUGUCCAGCCUUACCAUUUUUAUUCCUUUUCAGGAAUUUACUGAACUUCUUCACUAGCAUGCUCAUGUCUUCUAUGUCCUCUUUUUCUGAAUCAUCUUCUGAGGAUUCAUCCAUAUCAACUUUAGCAUUUAGAGAAAUAUUCUUUCGAUUCUUCUCUUGAUCUUAAUGUUGUUCAAGUUGGUCAAUUCCAACUCGUUUUCUUGCAACUUUCCAAAGAGAACAGCCAAAGACAUCUUAGAUAAGCUUUUCUUUUCUGAGAUGUUUGUCACCUUGGGUUGCCAUUAUCUAGAAAGUGAUCAUAGAACUUUUAAGUUGAAAUCACUGUUUGACAAUACAUUCCCUAGAGCAAUUAGAUGAUUUUAAGGUGAGUAAAUCUCUUUAGGAGAUCUAGUAUUUUAUCUCUAGGCUUCAUAGAAAUAUUUCAUAUUCUUGGGAGAGAGUAUUGAGUCUCGACCAUUUUUCCUCCUCAGUUCCUUCAUGCGUGGUCUCUAGAGUAUCCCACAUUUCUUUAGCAGAUUUGCAGUUUGAUACUCUAAAGAACUUGUCAAUGCCAAGUGCUGAAAUGUGGAUGUUCUUUGCUUUGAGAUCAUAUUGCACUUUCUUUUCACCUUCAUCAUUCCAAACGGAUUUUGGUUUUACUUCCCUUACACUGUCAAUAUUUGUGAAAGGUUCAUAAGGUCUGUCCUCAAUCACAUUCCAUAUGUCCAUGUCUUGAUAUUCUAGAAAUAUUCUCAUCCUGAUUUUCCAGAAGUCAUAGCAUUCUCUAACGAAGCUUGGAGGGUGAUUGAUGUUGGAACCUUCUCCUAGAAAUGAUCUUGAGGCCAUCUAUGAAACAUGAUCAGAUUGGGAAAUAUUACUAAAAUUAAGCAAUAGUGCCAAUUGUAAGCUUUAGAUGCCAACUAAGAGGUAGGUGAAUUAGUUGUUGAGAGAAAUGGUUGAUUGUUCUGCUAUGUGAUCAAAGUAUAUGUACAACAGAUUGUUGAUGCAAAAUUCAACAAAGUAAAUCAAAUGUAAUUCACAAGAAUAAGGUAGAAGAAGAGUACACAAAGAAUUUUAUAAUGAUUCCCCUUCUUGUCCAGCGAAGGUUACAUCCAGUGCUCUUGCCACACAAUAGAUUUUUCAUUAGAUAAUUUGAGUUGCAAUUAUAAAUUCUCUCCCCGAGACCCUUGUAAGGCAAAAUUGACAAUGUUGGUCAAGAACUACCUAUCUUCUACCUUGUGAGAUUAUAAAGGUAGUAGUAAUGGUUAUGAUCGCUUUUAAAUCUAAAGUAGAAAAGAUAUAAUUCGAGUCAUGAUCUUCCUAUUAAAUUCCCAAUGUUUUAAUUAAUUGUGUAAUUAGAAGAUAAUUUUAGACUUACUCAUAAUUUUUUUUAAUAGUCAAAUAAUUGACGUAUAUAAAAUUCAAGCAUACCAUUCAUUCAUACAUUUAUCAAAAUAGGGUCUACCAUACCCUGGGAGUAUAUAAAAUGCAUUGACACCAUUACCUCAAAUUCAAGCAUACCAAUUAUUCAUACAUUUAUCAAAAUAUACAUGAUUCAAACGUUCACCAGGAAAAAAAAACUCAUUAAAAAAUUCAUCAAAAUAUACAUAAUUCAAACAUUUAUCAAAAAAAUAAGAACCACCAUUCCAAAAGUUACAUCAUUCCAAAAUUAUCAAACAUUCAUUCCAAAAUUUCAUAAUUAAAAAUAAAAUACACAUCAUUCCAAAAGUUACAUCAUUCAAACAUUCAUUCACUCAGAUAAUGAGUCAAAAGUAAAAAAAAAAUAGCAUUUAGACAUUCAUUUAGAUAUAUAUUCAGAAAAUGAAAAAAAGCAUUUUUUAUUAAUAAAACAUUCAGGUAUCCAAUCAUACACAAAAAGAUAUAUCAUCACACAUUCAUCUACAUAUGCAUACAUUCAUAAAUAAAUCAUUCAUAUGAUGCAUUUCAUGCAUUACCAUCAAUUAUUCGAAAAAAUAAAAAUAAAAUUCAAAUGAUGCAUCUUCACAUGAAUUCAAAAAAUGGGAAAGAAUAACAUGCAUGCAUAUUGCAUAAAUAAAAAUUUACAUCAUCUUGUUAUUCAUACAUCUAAGCCAUGCAUGCGCCUCAGACAUAACUCACUACCAAAGAUACUCAUGAGUUGAAAUUUGAUUUUUAAAGGUGAUAAUAUUGGGUUCGGUUGAAACGAUCUAAGAAGGAAGAAUUGUGGCUGCACAAGAUAAACUAGCUGCUCAUACUAAUACAUUAUCCUUAAGGAUAUAUUUUCAAAAUUCCUAUCAUAUAGAAACCCCAAUUGGCCAUGAUAAUCCUAAUCAUUCCUCAGCUCCCUACAAUGUUAUUAAUCCUCGAGAUUGGGAGAAGAUUAAGGGAAUCAAAGAAAGAAUUAAAGCUAUCGAGGAAGCAGGUUCCUAUAGUUUGAAGGACGUUAAAAACAUGUGCUUGGUACCAAAUGUGAUAUUGCCACCAAAGUUCAAGAAACCUAAAUUCGACAAAUAUAAAGGAACUUCUUGUCCUAAGGAUCACCUCACGAUGUAUGCCAGGAAAAUGACUCCGUAUAUCAGGGAUGACAAUUUGUUAAUCCAUGUUUUCCAAGAGAGCCCUAGUGGAGCUUCCGUCACUUGGUAAAUGUGCCUCGAACAUUCUCAUACCAAAUGUUUCAUGGAUUUGUGUAACGCUUUCCUUAAACAAUACAACUACAAUAUUGAUCAAGGUCCUGAUGGGGUACUACUCAAGAAGAUAUCCAAGAGAAAUAAUGAGUCCUUCAAGGAAUAUGUCCAAAGAUGGGCAUGAUUAGCCGCUUAGGUGAAGCCCAAGUUGUGUGAGCAUGAGAGUGUUUCGAUGUUUAUCAAUACCCUACAAUAUACUUUCUUUGAUCUGAUGAUUAGAAUGGUCGAUUCGGAUUUCCUUCAUUUGAUAACCAUAGGGGAAAGAAUUGAGAAUAACUUCACGAACACAAGAUUGAGAAAAACUUAGCCAACAUAGCAGUUCAAAAUGAUCUUGCAAGUGAAGAUAUGGAAGUGGAAAUCGCAUUCAAAGAGACCCUUAGCCAACCUUAAAUGCCUUAAUUUCUACAAGCAUCAUGUUAUUAUACCUCUAAAAAUGGUAAAGAAGGGUGGUCCCGAAAGCGAAAAAGGAAGAGUUUGUAAGGGAAUGCAAUAUCUGAUUAACUCUAUAUUGAUAUGCUUUCAAGGGAAUGUCUUUGUUUGAGAAUGCUUAAAAUCACUCCAAAUUCUCGUCUUGGUUCUAGAAAAAUGAUUUAAUUCAAAUCUAUCGCCCUCUCAAGGCUUUAGAGUAAUAAAUAGUAGGGCACUCAUGUCUCUUUCCAUGAAUAAGAAUUUAUUUUCUAAUGCACAUUUUUUUAACGAUUACAUACUAAUAUAUUGAUCAUAAAAUUCUCAUUCCAUGCUUCAUACCACACAAUUCAUCACCAAAAGAAAAACAAGUCAAACAAAUCAAUUCAUGCAUUAAUAUGAGUAUAUUUAUUUCAAAAGUUUAAAAGAAAAGGAGAACGAUGCAAAUGUAAGACCCAAAAUGGUGUGAAUCCUUAGGCAGAUUUUUCUAAUAACACAAAGUAUCUUGGAAAAUCUCAAACACUAAGAAGAUAUCCCUAGUCAUCCAAUUUGAGCCUUACACUUUAUAAAAGGAGAUUUCUUCUAAAAUACCCGCAAAAUAUCAAAACCUGGGUUAGGGUAGUUGUUCAACCGUUUUUCUUGACAUUCAAUUAUUAAGAAAUGAAUACACUCUACCAUUUCCAAAUCUAACCUAGAGGAUAAAGUACGAAGAAACGAAAACAAAAAAUAUAUGUACAAAAACCUACUGAGAAUCCUCAAUAAAAAUCUCAAGCAAAAGUUAGGGCAAAUAAAAUGUACUGUCAAUGACCAAAAAAUGAAUUACCCACAUGCCCCUGGAUAAGAAACUCUGGUCUCGAUAUUAGGCUCUCACAGAUUCGAAAAAAACAAAACAAAACAAAAUCUUGGUAUUUGAAUAUCAUGUAAGAAAACUGUUGAAAUAGGACAAUGGAGAAAGGAGAACAUAGAAAGGGGUUUGAGAAACACAUUUUUUAGCCUUAUCCUUUUUCUUGCUAACUCUUAGCCAAGCCACGAUACAAGCUCAAAAGAUGUUGUCGAGAAUUUGAUUUGUCGAAGGAAUAAACACUAGGGAAGAGAAACGCUAACUCCAAUAAAUCUCAAAACGUUUGAUAAAACAUCUCAUUUUAAUGCAUCAGAUUAAAUCUCAAUCUUUCAUUAUCACCACCACCACAUCAACACUCAAAAUCAAAAUAUUCAAGUUUGCAUGAUCUUUGUUUUUAGUAUUUCUUUUUAAAGAGUUGUGCAUGGAAAAACAUAUGACAAGUGGAAAUCAAAAGAACGAUUGUCAAUUCAAACUGGGGAAAUUUAUGGUGGUUGAUCUCAUUUCUCGAAUGAGAGUACCAAGAAACCUAUAUGUGGGCAAGGCUGAAGUUGCUCAUCAUGGACCUAUCCAAAAUCCCUCAACCAAACAGAGGCAAUAUCUUAUGUUCUCACCUUCAAACUUCAAUGAAAACGCAUGCUUUCAUGCACUUAUGACUGUCACACUUAAGGGUGUUCAAAAAUAGCGAAAGCAAGCAAAAAUAAACAAAAAAGAGUGUUAGGAUGCAAAUCCACAAGGGCAACUUAAGAAAAGGACAGUAAUGCUAUGUCAAAAACCUUCAACGACAACUUAGUAUCAUAAUAAAAACAAGGAAUUCCUAACAUGUACCAACACUAGGUAUUCUUGGCAAAAAUUAGGGAAAAUAAAUGAACACCCUCAAGUGAAAAUCCACUGUUGUUCAUCUUCAACCAUGCAAGUUGCGACAGUUUUUUUGAAGUUAGAGUCACAAUCUAUGUUUGGAAAGAUUCUCAUCAGGUCUAUGACAAAUAUAUCAGAGCAAUUUAUUGGACGAUCCAACUCUUCCUAUAAAUUCUUAACAUGACACUGGGGCAAAAUUAUGGCAAGAUGCUGGCACAUAGUCCUUUUUAACAAGAUCCAACAAAGAUCACAUUUCACUUAAGUCAAUAAAAACAGUUUCUUUGAGUUUUAGAAAAUUACGAUAUCAUAAUGCAUGCGUUCAUUACUCAUACAUAAUGUCAACCAUAUCAUUCUCAAUAUAACACAACAUAUUCUGAAGCAUCCAUAUCACUACUCUACAUAUUUUAAGAAUCUUUGCUUUCCAAGAUCCCGAGCCUAUUGUACUUUCAAUUAUAACUUUCUAAGACCCUGAGUUUUAUGUGCUUUCCAUCAAACACACCAGGACCCCGAGCCUGAUGUGAAUUUUGGAGUUCCGAGAGUACCGACCUGCGUUCUCGUUGCUUUUCAGGACCCCUAGCUUGAUGUGCUUUUAAUUAUAGCUUUCUAGGGCCUUGAGCUUGAUGUGCUUUCAAUCAUUCUUUCCUGGACCCCGAGCUUGAUGUGCUUUAAACCAAACUUUCUAGGACCCCGAGCUUGAUGUGAAUUUCCGAGUUUCGGCAGUACAUAACAUGCGUUCUCGUAUUAAAUGUUUUUGCUUUCCAAGACCCGAGCCUGAUGUGCUUUCAGUUACUCAUUCCAAGACCACGUGUAUGAUGUGGAUUUUUAAGUCCCAACAGUACCCAACUUGCAUUCUCCUUUUAAAAAGUUUUGCUUUCCAGGACCCUGAGCCAAGUGUGAUUUAAAUCAAACUUUCUAGGACCCCGAGCCUGAUGUGAGUGUCUGAGUUCCGACAGUACUCGACUUGUGUUCUCAUUUUAAAAUAUUUUCUUUCCAGGACAUUGAGCUUAAUGUGCUAUAAAUCCAUCUUUCUAAGACCUCAAGCCUUACGUGCUUUCAACUAAUCUAUCCAGGACCCUAAGCCUGAUGUGAAUUUUCAAGUUCUAACGAUAACCAACAUGUGUUCUCGAUUUUAAAUUUUUUGUUGAAAUCAUUAUCUCGGCCUUGACAAAAUUAAUGGUUAUUCUUUACUAGAUAUUUACUAUGGUAACACUCAAACCUCAGUUUGCAUGCUAUCAAGUAAACAACAAGUAAAGAGGGGCAACUGUGAGUACUGCAUUUUGUUUGGCAUAUAACAAAUACAAAGAUUUAAAUAAAAUGAAAAAAACAAUUAACUAUUUCAGUUACACUUGCUGUAGUUAUAGAUGCACAUAAAUCAGUAAUGAUGAGCAGUUUCAGAUGAAAUAAGUCAGAAAAAAAAAAGGUUGUGUACAUUUCUGAUUAUCAAUUGGCAAACCAAAAGGUCCUUCACAAACCAUUAUAAAAGGCAAGAGGAUACCCACACCUAAAAAACACAUAUACAUGCAUAUCACAUAUACAGAGAGGACAGUGAAAAUCACAAUCAUACAUACAACACACAAAUAUUACAUAUACUCCUAAACCUACACAGAUCAGAACAGAGAGUGACAUACCACAUAUACUGAAAUCAGAACACAGACGCAUAUUACACAUACAUCUACAAGAUCACACACACAUAUCAUAUUUAGGAGCACAUCUAUUGUCCUAUAGUUUGUGCCACUCCAUGUGCCAUGUGUGUGUGAUUGGUCAGAAAAAUACUUAAUAAUUAAAUUUUAACUUAAAUAUAUUUUUGCUAACCAAUCACACACUCAUGGCACAUGGAGUGGCACAAAGUAUGGGACGACAGAUGUGUACCCAUCAUAUCUAUAUCAUACACCUAAAACAUAAACAUAGAACAUAACAAAACAUAUCAAGAUUAGGAACAUAAAGAGCAGUGAAUUGAAAAGAUUGAAGAGCAAGAAAUAUACGAGAUAUCAAAAGCUAGAGAAAAGGGGAUCGGUAGCAGGUGAAGACAAUAACAACAAGGUUAUAUACAAAGUUGUCCUCGGUAACAACUUAUUCUUCCUCAUUCAAUUGUUAAUCAUCAGUUAUACGUCCAUAGUCAUGCUUUAGAUACAUCAUAUUUAAUCUUAAUACAUGUAUGAAAGCAAAUAAUACAUCAAGGCAAUUACAAAACAGUUUUAAUUAGCACUUGUUUUUGAAUGAAUCUUCAUCCAAAUCCAUUUUUCUUAAACCCAUCAUUAACCAAUACAUACAUUUAGAAGCUUAACAAUAAAUUAGCACCAUGGAAAUCCAAACCCUAUAACCCCAACUGUUGGUAUACCUUUUCCAUAUUGUUAUCCAAUCUUAUGCCAUCCGCUUCUAUUGGAGGCAAUCGCUGACACCAUAGGUGCCCGCCGCCAUCAAUUCAGUUCCGCCACCAUUGCGGAGUGAGCCCCACCAUACACUGAUUAUAUUCACCACCUUCCUUUGCCUUAAUGAGCCUCUAAGAGGGGAAGAUAUAAAAAACAAAAUAACAUAGGAGAGGAUGAAGAAACAAAGAAAAAGAAAUAAAAAUGAAGGAGAUGAAAAAUAAAAAUAGAAAUGGAAAAGAUAAUUACCCGUUCUUAGAACCACCGUGAUAAUAGUAAGGUCAUAGUUCGAUUCGUCUCUAACUUCUCUGAAAAUGAGAAGAAGGUCUACGACGAACACCAUCUAUAAGCUAUUAGUUUCAUUGAAUUAAAAUAAUCAUAUAUUUCAAAUACUUUAAAAUCAAUGAAAAUCAAACUCAACCAAAUCGAUGUUUUCAAAAUCAGCUGAACUAAUCAAUUAAUUUUCAAAUCAAAACUACGUAGUCUUGAUUUCCCUAUUGCACCUAGAGAUACGUAGGAGGAAUAUAAACUCUUGUCAAACACAAAAACAAAAAAUAAAACGUUUUGCAUUAGUAAUUGAAUUUUCAAUGAAUAUGUUUAAGGUUAUAAAAGUCCAUAUGAUUAGUGAGCGUACCAUUUUAGUACGGGCGGAUGGAGUGUUAAUACUUUCUCCGAUCCAUAAUCGACUCCCGAGCUCAUAACUCUUGUUCAAAGGACCAUUUUCUCCAAUUCGAGCAUCAAGAGCAUUUUCUACGUUUUAACAUCAAAAAAUGUAGUGGCGACUCCAUAUCAUUGGGAGAAGUAGAAGUCAUGUUCGCCUCCUCCUAAGUUGCAGACACGAUCUUCCAACUGAAUAUAAGAUCGUGAGAAGCCCCAUAUUUUAAAUGAUGCAUCAAAACUGAAUUCUUUGAUGUUAUUAAAGCUAGUGGUUCUGAAAAAUUAGCAAUACAUGACAAAGUUCACACAAAAAUGCAUGUAGUCAUUUUUUAGCAUUUAUGGACAUUUUUCUCCUUAUUGAAUGAGUUUAAUGCCAAAUCAAAUAAUAUUUUCCAGUCACAAAACAUAAUUCAAUGUGGUUUGAAAUUUGAAAUUUUGAACAUGAUUUUGGCUUAAACAGUCACCCAACUUUCUAAGUAUGUUCACCAUUUGGUUAAACCAUUUUUCUCAGAAAAUUUGGGCGACCAAACCAUUUUCCCUUCAAACAUUUUUCUCAACCAUCAUGAACUAAGUUAUGUUAAGGUAAAAUUUGGUCACAAAUUCUUGUGGUUCAAGUGAAUGCUUAUUUGGAGAAAAUCUAGAGAUUUUUCACUUUAGGAAACCUUUUCAUGUGAAAGUGGUUUAAUAAUGUUCUCAAAACAACUAACACAUAUUUAACAUGCACAAGACAAAAAUAAUCAAUCAUGAUAUAUAUGUUGUUCAUAAAAUAUUCAAAAAAUGGGUAUUUUGAAACUUUGUGGUUUGGGAAUUUUUUAAAAUAAAUUUGAUUUGAUUUUAGAAGAUUUACCAACAAAAAGUUUCAAAGAAUAAUAUACAAUAAAAAGAGCACAACUUUUAGAAGAAGAAGAAUCAUGGUACUUACAUGUUCAAGCCUUGAAGUUUUGGAGAGAAAAGAAUAUUUUGCUUUUCAAAAUGAGAGUGGGUAGUGAUUUCGGUCAAAAAGGGUG
RNAcentral lists this long non-coding RNA (30908 nucleotides) under Lupinus angustifolius (narrow-leaved blue lupine). RNAcentral describes it as "long non-coding RNA (LANG_LNC003225)". Lineage: Eukaryota; Viridiplantae; Streptophyta; Magnoliopsida; Fabales; Fabaceae. The record is from RNAcentral.